Molecule: ribosomal RNA, 383 nt
Filed under: Cranchiidae environmental sample
Lineage: Eukaryota; Metazoa; Mollusca; Cephalopoda; Oegopsida; Cranchiidae
Description: partial 16S ribosomal RNA
Source: RNAcentral
UAAUAAUUUGCCUUAUAAUUUGAGGCUAGAAUGACUGUUUUGACGAAGGUUAAUCUGUCUCUAUCUUAUUUUUUAGAAUUUAAUUUUAUAGUGAAAAAGCUUUAAUUUUUUAAAGGGACGAGAAGACCCUAUUGAGCUUAUAAUUUUAUUAUUAUUGUAAGUAUUUAUUUUUACAGUGAUAUAUAAAUUUUAAUUGGGGUGAUUAAGGAAUAGGUUUUGUAACUUCCUUAGGGUUAAUAUUAUUUGAUUAAGUAACCAAUAAAUUAUUGCUUUUAUUAUAGUUACCAUAGGGAUAACAGCGUAAUCUAUUUAGAGAGUUCUUAUUGAAAAAUGGGAUUGCGACCUCGAUGUUGGAUUAAGGUAACCACAAGGUGAAGAAGCUU